Molecule: ribosomal RNA, 253 nt
Filed under: uncultured bacterium
Lineage: Bacteria
Description: partial 16S ribosomal RNA
Rfam family: Bacterial small subunit ribosomal RNA
Source: RNAcentral
UACAGAGGCCCCGAGCGUUACUGAGAAUCACUGGGUUUAAAGGGUGCGUAGGUGGCGCGUUAAGUCCGUUGUGAAAUCCCUUGGCUCAACCAAGGAAAUGCUUCGGAUACUGGCGUGCUUGAGGCUAGUAGGGGUCACUGGAACUGACGGUGGAGCGGUGAAAUGCGUAGAUAUCGUCAGGAACGCCGAUGGUGAAGACAGGUGACUGGGCUAGUUCUGACACUGAGGCACGAAAGCGUGGGGAGCGAACGGG